AGUGAACGCUGGCGGCGUGCUUAAUACAUGCAAGUCGAACGAUGAAGUCCUAGCUUGCUAGGAUGGAUUAGUGGCGCACGGGUGAGUAAUAUAUAGUUAAUCUGCCUUGCACUGAGGAACAACAGUUGGAAACGAUUGCUAAUACCUCAUACUCCAACUUUACAUAAGUUAAGUUGGGAAAGUCUUUUCGGUGCAAGAUGAGACUAUAUCGUAUCAGCUAGUUGGUAAGGUAAUGGCUUACCAAGGCUAUGACGCGUAACUGGUCUGAGAGGAUGAUCAGUCACAUUGGAACUGAGACACGGUCCAAACUCCUACGGGAGGCAGCAGUAAGGAAUAGUGUGCAAUGGGGGAAACCCUGACGCAGCAACGCCGCGUGGAGGAUGACACUUUUCGGAGCGUAAACUCCUUUUGUUAGGGAAGAAUAAUGACGGUACCUAACGAAUAAGCACCGGCUAACUCCGUG
This 463-nucleotide ribosomal RNA is filed under the name uncultured bacterium. Its description in RNAcentral is "partial 16S ribosomal RNA". It matches the Rfam family "Bacterial small subunit ribosomal RNA", at positions 29 to 507 of the family's 1533-position model. The record is from RNAcentral.